RNAcentral lists this small nucleolar RNA (57 nucleotides) under Myotis lucifugus (little brown bat). The record is from RNAcentral. Lineage: Eukaryota; Metazoa; Chordata; Mammalia; Chiroptera; Vespertilionidae.
CGGUUCCUGCUGACGGGGUCUGUCCAGUCAUCAGAUCUGCCGUGUGCGAUGGCUCCG